GGCUGGGAGACGUGUCCACUCUGUUCCUGAUGUACAUGUCAAAGUCAAAGUGCAUCCACACACACACACACACACACACACACACACACACACACACACUCACACACACACACACACACACACACACACACACACACACACACACACACACACACACACACACACGGGAAUUUAUCUUAGCUAAAUACAGUAGCCUAACUCAGGAACAAACCUAAUUUGACUAGUUAAUUGUGUUCAAACUCUGAAAUUGGGGAAAAAUAAAAACAAAUCAGUAAAAUCAUGGGCUGCUGUUGUGUGAAGACUUACAACCUUAGAAAUAUUUUAGAAAUAAAAUGAAUUCAGAGCUAAAAUAAAGUGAUGUUAGUCAUGUCCCAUUUCCUUCACAUAUUUCCAAUCCUGAGAACAGGCAGAGCUCAGGGUUGUUUAUAAUGAUCACUGAGAUGAAUGUACUGAGGUCCUUUAAAUAAAUGUGACGAGACAUCCUAACUCAGUGGGACAGAACAUUGCUAAGCACUGAGCAUAAAGCGCCUAUAAAACUUUAUAUUCCAAUAUCAGCCUAAAAACACCGCACCACAAGGGUUAAUGAUCCAAGACCAGUUUAAGCGAUCACAAAGUGGACGAUUUUACCACUGAGCCGUUGACUAUCGUCUUCAGAGCCCACGGCAAUCCAAGUCCCACCAGGAUGUCAAACACGUUAAAUAAUGCUGAUCUCUUCUGCCCACACUAUAUGGGUAAUAUGAGCUGACUAGAUAGAGUUCAAGAGGUGUUUCUUUUUAAAAGUCAGGUUUAUUAAUGCUAAUUUCCUCUGCUAACACUACAUAUAUUUAAUUGUUAUAAUUAAACAAAAUUCUGCAUUGUA
This is a long non-coding RNA of Tachysurus fulvidraco (yellow catfish), 859 nucleotides long. RefSeq lists it as uncharacterized. Lineage: Eukaryota; Metazoa; Chordata; Actinopteri; Siluriformes; Bagridae. The transcript is spliced from 2 exons. The record is from RefSeq and is a predicted model, not a curated record.